GGGGAAUUUUGGACAAUGGGCGCAAGCCUGAUCCAGCCAUGCCGCGUGAGUGAAGAAGGCCUUCGGGUUGUAAAGCUCUUUCGCAAGGGAAGAAAUCUCUCAGGAUAAUACCUUGGGAGGAUGACGGUACCGUAAGAAGAAGCACCGGCUAACUACGUGCCAGCAGCCGCGGUAAUACGUAGGGUGCGAGCGUUAAUCGGAAUUACUGGGCGUAAAGCGUGCGCAGGCGGUUUGGUAAGACAGGUGUGAAAUCCCCGGGCUUAACCUGGGAACUGCGCUUGUGACUGCCAGGCUAGAGUACGGCAGAGGGGGGUGGAAUUCCUGGUGUAGCAGUGAAAUGCGUAGAUAUCAGGAGGAACACCGAUGGCGAAGGCAGCCCCCUGGGCCUGUACUGACGCUCAUGCACGAAAGCGUGGGGAGCAAACA
This 426-nucleotide ribosomal RNA is filed under the name uncultured Rhodocyclaceae bacterium. RNAcentral describes it as "bacterial SSU rRNA". It matches the Rfam family "Bacterial small subunit ribosomal RNA", at positions 356 to 774 of the family's 1533-position model. Lineage: Bacteria; Pseudomonadati; Pseudomonadota; Betaproteobacteria; Rhodocyclales; Rhodocyclaceae. The record is from RNAcentral.